CCUACGGGUGGCAGCAGUGGGGAAUAUUGCGCAAUGGGCGAAAGCCUGACGCAGCGACGCCGCGUGAGGGAUGAAGGUCUUCGGAUCGUAAACCUCUUUCAGCAGGGAAGAACGGUCACUGUGCUAAUCAGCAGUGAAUUGACGGUACCUGCAAAGGAAGCACCGGCUAACUCCGUGCCAGCAGCCGCGGUAAUACGGAGGGUGCGAGCGUUAAUCGGAAUUACUGGGCGUAAAGCGCUCGUAGGCGGUAUGUCAAGUCAAGGGUGAAAUCCCCGCGCUCAACGUGGGAACUGCCUUUGAAACUGGCAAACUGGAGUGUGUGAGAGGAUAGUGGAAUUCCAGGUGUAGGAGUGAAAUGCGUAGAUAUCGGGAGGAACAUCAGUGGCGAAGGCGACUAUCUGGCACAUAACUGACGCUGAGGAGCGAAAGCGUGGGUAGCAAACAGGAUUAGAUACCCUGGUAGUC
This 465-nucleotide ribosomal RNA is filed under the name uncultured bacterium. RNAcentral's name for it is "partial 16S ribosomal RNA". It matches the Rfam family "Bacterial small subunit ribosomal RNA", at positions 338 to 795 of the family's 1533-position model. The record is from RNAcentral.